This 439-nucleotide unclassified non-coding RNA is filed under the name Hevea brasiliensis (rubber tree). The record is from RNAcentral. Lineage: Eukaryota; Viridiplantae; Streptophyta; Magnoliopsida; Malpighiales; Euphorbiaceae.
AGCCGAUCAAGUGUUUGAGGGAAUUGAAGCCUAAAAGCUUCAGUCAUUCCUUCGUUGAUCUCCUUUUCCGAAGAUUUUCAAGCAAAAUUGCCUAUACCAAUUGAAUCCUAGAGUCACAACAAGCUCAAAGGUAGUGUUCACUCACCCUAUGAUUGCCAAUAACUUGAGCUCAAAACUUGGAAGCUUUUUUUUAUGUAACGUCUCCAUUGUUACAAUUCCUCAUUAUGGAUUCUCUUCUUCUUCUGGUUAUUGAAUCUUGAACAAGCUUGUCUUUAUUGAAUGUUUUGUCUAGGGCCCACCAAUUUUGUUUUGCUUCAUGUUUGUUCUAAUUGAAUGGUUUAAUUCAAUUUUCAUUCUGCUUUGAAUGUUCUUGAUUGAAUGUUUUACUUCAGUUUUUGUUCUAUUUGAAAUUUUGAAUAAGCCAAUUGAAUUUUUUUUU